This is a non-coding RNA of Onychostruthus taczanowskii (white-rumped snowfinch), 637 nucleotides long. NCBI's taxonomy places the organism in Eukaryota, Metazoa, Chordata, Aves, Passeriformes, Passeridae. The record is from the annotation of a RefSeq genome assembly.
AUGUCGGCCAUCUUGAAUCGGCCAUCUUACCCCGCCCGCUCCCCCAGCGUCUUCCCGCUCCUCUCCUGCGGCGACCGCGAGGGCCAGGUGAGCUUCGGCUGCCUGGCCGACGGCUUCUUCCCGCAGCCGGCCCAGAUCACCUGGGUGGGCGUGGCCUCGGGCGCCGCCCGGAACUUUCCGGAAGUCCAGACGGGCGUCGGCCGCUUCGGGCGGAGCUCCCAGGUGACGCUGAGCGCCGAGGAGGCCAAGAAGGGGAACUUCCGGUGCCAGGUGGAGCAAGGGGGGAAGAACGUGGAGCUGGAGAUCCCGGAUGCCUGCCCUGACCACGCCCCCCCCGAGCUCUCGGUGUCCCUCCUGAGCGACCCCAACCAAUCAGAGCCCGAGGUCCUCCUCCUCUGCCAGGUGCGUGGGCGUGGCUCCGCCGAGGCCCGCCUCACCUGGUUGGUCAACGGUGACGUCACCGAGAUGGGGGAGGAGCCAAGCAGCUGCCAGGAGGGCGGGGCCGGCCAGGUGACGCUGAGCGGGCGGGCCAACGUCAGCCGGGAAUUGUGGGAGCUGGGCGCCACCUUCACCUGCCGGGUGAGCCACGCCCACCUGGCCACGCCCCUGCAGGCCAACAUCAGCACCUUCUGCAAAU